GAUGAACGCUGGCGGCGUGCCUAAUACAUGCAAGUCGAGCGAACAGACGCGGCUCUUGCUCGUCUGACGUUAGCGGCGGAGGGGUGUGUCACACGUGUAUAAUCUCCCUAUCUGACUGGUAUAACUUCGGGACACCGGCGCUUAUACCGGAUAAUCUAUUGAACCGUAUGGUUCAAUAGUGAAAGUCGGUUUUGGUGUCUCUUAUCGCUGCUUAUGGGCCGGAGGAGGUAGUUGGUGAGGUAACGGCAUACCACGGCUACGAUGCGUAGCCGACGGGAGAGGGGGGUAGGCGACACGAGAACGGGGACAGGGACCAUAGGCCUGCGGGAGGCAGCAGUAGGGAAUGUGCCGCAGUGGGCGAAAGCCUGACGGAGUAACGCCGCGUGAGUGAUGAAAGUCUUCGGAUCGUAAAACUCGGUUAUGAGGGAAGAACAAAUGUGUAAGUAACUAUGCACGUCUUGACGGUACCUAAUCAGAAAGCCACGGCUAACUACGUG
RNAcentral lists this ribosomal RNA (497 nucleotides) under uncultured bacterium. RNAcentral describes it as "partial 16S ribosomal RNA". It matches the Rfam family "Bacterial small subunit ribosomal RNA", at positions 28 to 507 of the family's 1533-position model. The record is from RNAcentral.